GGUGAGAUGGCCGAGUUGGUCUAAGGCGUCACGUUAAGGCCGUGAUCUCUAUCGGAGGCGUGGGUUCAAAUCCCACUCUCAUCA
Absidia glauca is the source of this 84-nucleotide non-coding RNA. The record is from Rfam. NCBI's taxonomy places the organism in Eukaryota, Fungi, Mucoromycota, Mucoromycetes, Mucorales, Cunninghamellaceae.